Molecule: ribosomal RNA, 366 nt
Filed under: Alishewanella sp.
Lineage: Bacteria; Pseudomonadati; Pseudomonadota; Gammaproteobacteria; Alteromonadales; Alteromonadaceae
Description: bacterial SSU rRNA
Rfam family: Bacterial small subunit ribosomal RNA
Source: RNAcentral
CACAUGCAAGUCGAGCGAGGUUUUCGGACCUAGCGGCGGACGGGUGAGUAAUGCGUAGGAAGCUGCCCGAUAGAGGGGGAUACCAGUUGGAAACGACUGUUAAUACCGCAUAAUGUCUACGGACCAAAGUGUGGGACCUUCGGGCCACAUGCUAUCGGAUGCGCCUACGUGGGAUUAGCUAGUUGGUGGGGUAAUGGCUCACCAAGGCGACGAUCCCUAGCUGGUUUGAGAGGAUGAUCAGCCACACUGGGACUGAGACACGGCCCAGACUCCUACGGGAGGCAGCAGUGGGGAAUAUUGGACAAUGGGCGCAAGCCUGAUCCAGCCAUGCCGCGUGUGUGAAGAAGGCCUUCGGGUUGUAAAGCA